GGAGUCGCUGUAUGCGGGCGGAAGCGGAGGACGCGACCUGUCCUCCUCCCUGAGGGCGGCGGUGGGGGAAGGCCAGCGGGGAGCUCGAGGAGGCCUACACACCACCGCUUGGGCUACCGCCAUGUUUCUAAUGAUCUCUGAGACGUUCCAGCACAUUUUGUGGCUACGCAACGACAAUAGCCUUUGCCAACACUGCAAUUAAGGGUGUGAGGUGAAGAUGUGCUCAUGUGGUUUUGAAGAAAGCAGACGUUGACCUCACCAAGAAGGCACGAGAGCUCACUAAGGAUGAGGUGGAACGUGUAAUCACCACUAUGCAAAAUCCACACCAGUACAAGAUCCGAGACUGGUUCUGAAACAGACGGAAGGACGUGAAGGAUGGGAACUACAGCCAGGUCCUGGCCAAUGGUCUGGACAACAAACUCUGUGAAGACCCGCAACGACUGAAGAAAAUUACACCAUUUCUGGGGACUUCGAGGCCAGCACAGCAAGACCACCGGCCGCCGAGGCUGCACUGUGGGUGUGUCCAAGAAGAAAUAAAUCUGUAGGCUUUGUCUGAUAAUAAAUAGUUUCUACACUUUAAAAAAUCAAAUGAAAAUAAAAACAACAAACAAUAAAUUGAUUUUUCAUUUA
Pteropus alecto (black flying fox) is the source of this 630-nucleotide long non-coding RNA. RefSeq lists it as uncharacterized. NCBI's taxonomy places the organism in Eukaryota, Metazoa, Chordata, Mammalia, Chiroptera, Pteropodidae. The transcript has 2 exons. The record is from RefSeq and is a predicted model, not a curated record.